AAGUCGUAACAAGGUUUCCGUAGGUGAACCUGCGGAAGGAUCAUUACUGAAAGAGGGGGGCUUCGCGCUCCCGGGGUCUCGGCCCCUCUCUCCAUGUCAUUACUACUCUGUGCUUGGUGCUGGCUCGCCGCUGCGUUGUGGUCGUCAGUGGCCCAUAAAUUCGUCUAUGCCGGUAUUAUCAGAUCGAAACCACAAUAGCAAAAAA
This 205-nucleotide unclassified non-coding RNA is filed under the name plant metagenome. RNAcentral describes it as "partial contains small subunit ribosomal RNA and internal transcribed spacer 1". The stretch from base 1 to 46 matches the Rfam family "Eukaryotic small subunit ribosomal RNA", at positions 1786 to 1831 of the family's 1831-position model. The record is from RNAcentral.